RNAcentral lists this non-coding RNA (26 nucleotides) under Mus musculus (house mouse). The record is from RNAcentral. Lineage: Eukaryota; Metazoa; Chordata; Mammalia; Rodentia; Muridae.
UGGUCUACAUAGCAUUGAAACUUGCG